Molecule: ribosomal RNA, 406 nt
Filed under: uncultured bacterium
Lineage: Bacteria
Description: partial 16S ribosomal RNA
Rfam family: Bacterial small subunit ribosomal RNA
Source: RNAcentral
AUUGAACGCUGGCGGCAGGCCUAACACAUGCAAGUCGAACGAGUGGCGGACGGGUGAGUUAUGUCUGGGAAACUGCCUGAUGGAGGGGGAUAACUACUGGAAACGGUAGCUAAUACCGCAUACCAUCGGAUGUGCCCAGAGGGGAUUAGCUAGUAGGUGGGGUAAAGGCUCACCUAGGCGACGAUGCCUAGCUGGUCUGAGAGGAUGACCGGCCACACUGGAACUGAGACACGGUCCAGACGCCUACGGGAGGCAGCAGGGGGGAAUAUGGGACAAUGGACGAAAGCCGGAUGGAGCAAUGCCGCGUGUGUGAAGAAGGCCUGAGGGUUGUAAAGUUCUUUCAGCAGAGAGGCGUUACCCGCAGAAGAAGCACCGGCUAACUCCGUGCCAGCAGCCGCGGUAAUAC